UCCCAUCAGAAUCCGGCUCAAAUUGAGGCACUUUGUACAGUGAGCAUUGCUGGCUGGAUUUGCAGAUUAGUGGUUAGCAUAGUUUAGUUGCUUUGCUUUUGCUCAAACAUGAGAACUUGAAAAUUUUCCUUGUUCUACUUGUUUAUUUCAAGUGCAAAGCUUGUCAUGUGAGAACUUUCAUGAUUGAGAGCAAUUAAAUGUAUCAUGGCCUAAGAGAGUGAUGCCAGAGAGAACAUUUAUUGUUGUUGUAGUGAUUUCAGGUUGUUGAAGCUAGAGAUAGAGUUCUGUUUCUUCUAUUUUGCUAGUUGUAUUGUAUUGCAGCAGCUCUGUCAAAAUAAA
Molecule: unclassified non-coding RNA, 339 nt
Filed under: Hevea brasiliensis (rubber tree)
Lineage: Eukaryota; Viridiplantae; Streptophyta; Magnoliopsida; Malpighiales; Euphorbiaceae
Source: RNAcentral